GAUGAACGCUGGCGGCGUGCCUAAUACAUGCCAGUCGAACGCUGAAGGAAGGAGCUUGCUCUUUCCGGAUGAGUUGCGAACGGGUGAGUAACGCGUAGGUAACCUGCCUGGUAGCGGGGGAUAACUAUUGGAAACGAUAGCUAAUACCGCAUAACAGUAGAUGUUGCAUGAUAUCUACUUAAAAGGUGCAAUUGCACCACUACCAGAUGGACCUGCGUUGUAUUAGCUAGUUGGUGAGGUAACGGCUCACCAAGGCGACGAUACAUAGCCGACCUGAGAGGGUGAUCGGCCACACUGGGACUGAGACACGGCCCAGACUCCUACGGGAGGCAGCAGUAGGGAAUCUUCGGCAAUGGACGGAAGUCUGACCGAGCAACGCCGCGUGAGUGAAGAAGGUUUUCGGAUCGUAAAGCUCUGUUGUAAGAGAAGAACGAGUGUGAGAGUGGAAAGUUCACACUGUGACGGUAUCUUACCAGAAAGGGACGGCUAACUACGUG
This 497-nucleotide ribosomal RNA is filed under the name uncultured bacterium. RNAcentral's name for it is "partial 16S ribosomal RNA". It matches the Rfam family "Bacterial small subunit ribosomal RNA", at positions 28 to 507 of the family's 1533-position model. The record is from RNAcentral.